AUGAGGACACUGACUGGACCUUUUGCCCUGUGCUUGUGGCGGCAGCUGAACUGUGUGAGCAGAGGAGAGCAGCUGGAGCAGCAGCCUUCUCUCCUGAGUGUCCAAGAGGGAGGAGGCAUCUUUAUCAACUGCACCUACAAAGCUACUGCUCCUUCUUUCUUCUCCUGGUACAAACAAGAGCCUGGGGCAGGUCUCCAGUUGCUUAUAAAAAUCCUUUCAAAUGUGGAUAGAAAAGAAGAACAAGGUCUCAUUGUCCUACUGAAUAAGAAGGACAAACGUCUCUCCCUGAACAUCACAGCUGCCCAUCCUGGGGACUCAGCCACAUACUUCUGUGCAGAGAGUGCACAGUGCUCCCCAGGCAAUCACUGCCUGACAUAA
This is a non-coding RNA of Cricetulus griseus (Chinese hamster), 378 nucleotides long. The record is from the annotation of a RefSeq genome assembly. Lineage: Eukaryota; Metazoa; Chordata; Mammalia; Rodentia; Cricetidae.